This is a long non-coding RNA of Schistocerca piceifrons (Central American locust), 341 nucleotides long. RefSeq lists it as uncharacterized. The transcript has 3 exons. The record is from RefSeq and is a predicted model, not a curated record. NCBI's taxonomy places the organism in Eukaryota, Metazoa, Arthropoda, Insecta, Orthoptera, Acrididae.
UGUAGUUUCCAUGGGAUACGUUUGCGUUGCAACAGGCGAUUUUAUUAUUGCGGUCAUUUCAUUGUGUAAUUGGCGUCAUCGUUAUUAUUUUGUGCAUAGAAAACAUACAAUUUUCACCGUUUCAGAUUCAGAACAGUUUGUCAAACGCAAGUUAAUAUGCAGAGUCAUGUAGAACACAUGCUCAGAAAGCCAGCAAAAUACCGACCUUCAAGACCAAAUGAUUACAUUUACGAUCCUACAUAUCUAUUUUCAAGUCCAAGAGAUUAUCAACGAUGUGUUCUUAAAGCUGCAAAGGAACAAGCUGAAUUUCAACCACAGCCAAAUUACCCAUCUAUGUUCAG